Harpegnathos saltator (Jerdon's jumping ant) is the source of this 215-nucleotide long non-coding RNA. RefSeq lists it as uncharacterized. The record is from RefSeq and is a predicted model, not a curated record. Lineage: Eukaryota; Metazoa; Arthropoda; Insecta; Hymenoptera; Formicidae. The transcript is spliced from 3 exons.
CGUUAUUCUUGUCCAAAUCCUUAUUAUUUGAAUCUGUUUCCUUUGGAGAUUUUAUUCUCGGGAUCGAAGAUUUAGAUGGAUCUGUUUUGAAAACAGCCAGGUCGAGCGUGCCUGGAUUAUAAUAACUUUUCAACAGACGUCUAAAUUGAAUCCGCCGUCCGGCUCUUCUUGUUCUUUUCGGCAUGAGAGAUUUUUAGCACAACACUUUUAAAGUA